Molecule: ribosomal RNA, 254 nt
Filed under: uncultured bacterium
Lineage: Bacteria
Description: partial 16S ribosomal RNA
Rfam family: Bacterial small subunit ribosomal RNA
Source: RNAcentral
UACGGGGGGGGCAAGCGUUGUUCGGAAUUACUGGGCGUAAAGGGCUCGUAGGCGGCCAACUAAGUCAGACGUGAAAUCCCUCGGCUUAACCGGGGAACUGCGUCUGAUACUGGAUGGCUUGAGGUUGGGAGAGGGAUGCGGAAUUCCAGGUGUAGCGGUGAAAUGCGUAGAUAUCUGGAGGAAUACCGGUGGCGAAGGCGGCAUCCUGGACCGGCAUUGACGCUGAGUGAGCGAAAGCCAGGGGAGCAAACGGG